RNAcentral lists this long non-coding RNA (1801 nucleotides) under Nicotiana tabacum (common tobacco). RNAcentral describes it as "long non-coding RNA (NTAB_LNC016806)". Lineage: Eukaryota; Viridiplantae; Streptophyta; Magnoliopsida; Solanales; Solanaceae. The record is from RNAcentral.
GGCCCUUCCCAUUUCAUUCCCCCUCAUCUCUUCAGAGACCUAAUAUAACACCGCCUCAUGCUGCCGCCCUCCGCCUACCAGAAAUCGUCUCACGGCGGUUUCGGUCGUCCAAUCCCUUCCAAAAUUACUCCCCAGAACCACCAUGACCCCCUCUUUCCAAAUUCAUAACUACUUUCCCUCGAAUCUUGCCCAAACCUCUCGAAUUUUAGAUCUAAAGUUCAAAUCCCUAAACCUUAAUUUCCAUUAAAUCUAUGGCAUGCAUGAUCCAGGUUUCCAUUUUUAUGAUUUAGAAAGCUGAUUCACGCGAAAUUGAUGGUUUUCGUUUGUUCUUGACAAAGAACAAGCGGUCAUCAGUAGUUUCGUGAAAUCAGGACAUCCGGCGUUUGGUUUCAAACUAAUAUUGGUAAGUAUUCGUUUCUCUUUUUCUAUCUGUGUUUGUUUUUACCAUCCGUUUACCCCUUUUCUUAUAUUUUUUUUAGUAUUGUUGAUUGGUGUUAGUUUCUGAACCUAGUUUUUUUUUACGAUUAGUUCUGCAUUUGUAAUUGUUUCUUUGGCCUUUCAGUUUCGUCUUCUAGUUUUUAGAACGUUAAUCUCUGAUUUUGUUAUAUUAUUUGUUCACCUUGCUUAAUUGUCAUUCAUGAUUUUUGAAUUUCUAAUUUUUUUUAUCUUAUUGUUAAUUAGCCUUGUCUCGACUUGAUAUUUUAGUUAAUUCUAGUUCAUUAGUUUAGCUUUAAAGUCAGUAAUUUAAUUAGGUUUUGGUUUGAAACCAUUCAAAUUGGUUUUCUGUUCUGUUUUAUCAUGGAUCAAUGGGUUAACUUAAUUUAGGGAUUCAUUUCUAACCCAGUUUCAAUGAAGGCCCAAAGAAUUUGUUCACCUACUUGGGUCAACUUGACCAUUGUGAUUUUCUGAAAUAAUAAUAGGGUCAUGGGGGUAAUUUGGGUAGUCUAACCUAAGGGAACCUUAAUAAGUGAAUUAGGUGGCUGCUAAUAAGUGAUAAGGUUUAGAAAGGGCACUACUGAAUUAAAUUAAAAGCACUAAGUUAAGUGGGAUUAAAAAAUGGAAAGGAUACGUUGUAGUGGAAAAUGCACUUAUUAGAUGCCCAUUUAAGGAGAACAUUCUGACAGAGAAGAAAAAAAAAGACAUUAUGAUAUUCUGAAAGUAUUGAAAAAUACAGAUUUUUUAGAAAUAAGAAUCCAAUAAAUCAGCUAAAAACUCUCUACUCUACCAUUGAGCUUCAGUAAUUCCUGAUUCUUUUAAACUCUGGAAAUAAUAAUGUUCAGUGAUGGGAUUUGAGUUGGUUUGAUACAAGUUUUUGGAAGGUUUUGAUCAAAUUUUGUUAAAGACUACUGUUCCAUUGGAUUUUAAAUUAAUUUUCUGGUUUCAUUUAUUGAAUCUGGGCUGUGUUGUUGCUGCUGUCGAUUUAUGUUGUUUAAAAAUUGCUGAUCCUUCUUUAUUUCUUUGUCCCUUCAAUCUCAGGUACAUUCUUAGCCCCUUAAUGAUGAUUGAUUGUUGAACAUAUAAAUCAGAUGGAAUCCUAAUUGUAUACAGGUUGCAUUUGAACAUAGUUUCCCCUGUUUCUCAUACUGCUUUAAUAUUUUGUAAUAGAUAUGUAGUUUUAGAUGUUAUCUAAGCUAUCAUUUGCACAUUUAAUGUUGUGUAUGUUCAGUAGUUAUAUGUAUGGGUAAUUGGACAUGUAUGUAUGAUUCUGCUAUGUAUAUUCAAUAGUUGUAUGUAUAGGUAAUUGGACAUGUACGUAUGAUUCUUAUUUGAGAUCAGUAUGGUUCGAAGUAUUUGGCAAGCA